Molecule: long non-coding RNA, 3390 nt
Filed under: Portunus trituberculatus (swimming crab)
Lineage: Eukaryota; Metazoa; Arthropoda; Malacostraca; Decapoda; Portunidae
Description: uncharacterized LOC123517355
Source: RNAcentral
ACAGCUGAGGACGCGGCGCGGCGAGGAAGGACGCUGGUGAAGGACUCUCGAAUCCUGCAUAUCCUUCGUCAGUAGGAGUCUGUGGGAUAGCGAAGGAUACACGGCCUUAGGAUGGAGAGGUGUGUUGGUGUGAGGGGGGGGGGGAGGAAGGAGUUACCUGGCCUGUCACCUCACCUGGAUUCCACCUGGUGAUUAGGCUGACGGAGCAGCAGCAGCAGGAGGAAAGGAUAGAUAGAGAGGCAGAGAUGACGAACCUGAGCUAAGCAGUGAAGCAACAGACGUGGAUAACAAGAUAGCAGCGAUGCGUGGAAGUGAACGAAGACAUGUUAGGAAGUUAAGGUCAGGAGGAAGAAAAGCAGAAUAAAAGCGAAGACAAAAGACGAGAAGUAGGAAGUUGAAAAGGCGACGAGGAAGAGAUUAGAUAGAUACGUAGAGAGAAGUGAUGACGAGGAGAAUAGCAGACGUGGUUAUGGAGAAGAAAUACGAAGAAAAAAGGUGAAAAAGCAAUAAAAUAAGAAUUGGUAAGUGAAAUUCUCUCUCUCUCUCCACAGCCCCACAGUAUGUUUCCGAACCACAGUCACUCACCACAGCCCCUCCCUUCAAUAAACACACACCACACACCCACACCUCCCCACAGUAUGUCUACGUACCACAGUCACUCGCCACAAAAAUAAAACAGCAAUUCCUAGAGAAAGAGAAAAGGGAAGGAAAAGUGCUAAAGUAAUGAAACGAAGACUUAAGAGGAUGUAAGAGAAUGGAGGAGGAGGAGGGAGAAGAGGAGUGAUGGCAGGGUAUCGUGUCAUAGUCUCACUCAUCAAGCCAGGUGUUGCAAGACCUCACCUUCACCUGUCAUCAUCACUUACACACCUUGACAUCACCACCAUCACCACUGCUCACCUGAAAUCCUCGCAGGUGUGGCCACUUUCCUCCAGGUAAAGUUAAUAAUACAAGAACACCUGUAAGUAAAUGAUUAAUAAAAGAUAAAAUUACGUUUAUUUGUCUUCCUUUCCAAGUUAUGGUACAAAAAACUUACAGUACAAGUAGCUGGCUGGAUGCAGAACGGUGGAGAAGCAUUGGUUUUGAAUUGUUUAGUCAAUCAAGCCUAUUUGAAGUAAAAGUGACACCUAGGUUAUAUUUCCUUAUCUAAUCUAAUACAUUAAUGACUAUACCUUUUCUUUACGAAGGUGUGAGAGGAGGGACCUGCCCAAUAAUGAUUACGUUGUGAUGUUACCGACACGGGAUGUUCUUAUAAGUAACACCAGUGGCUUGGCUUGUCUUGUCUUGGCUUGGCUUGGCUUGGUGUUCACUGUUCUCUUGUUCUUGUAGCCACAGUCUCACGUUCUCAUUAUUUCUUUUGUCCCUGUUUUUUAGUACACACACGAGUAUACUUGAAAAACACUGCGAGUCAAACAAAGUGAACUCGAAUAAACGUCAACCCGACACGUAACGAAGACAUUGUUAUCGUUAGUGGUUCGUGGAAAGGAAACGUGACUACUUGUAACAGAAAAGAUGUUGCCUUGAGGCGCAGGACAGUAGGACAGUCAUGAUCGGCUUCAUAUCAACCAUCGAUAAUUACUUGUUUGUAAAACCUGAAGUUGUUACAAUCAUUAAAUUUUUAAGAAGCUAGCUAAGAAAAAUUAAAUACUUAAAUAACUUAAAUAACUAACUAAACCUUUUUACAGUUUUGGUUGGAGCUGAAACUAAAACGUUGCGUGCUACAAAUAAUUGGAGGUCUUACAAAGUUAGCCAGGGAAAUAGAAGCUUAAAAAUAUAAACGUAAGUUACACCUACAAGAAUAUAAUAAAAACUAACAAAAAAAAAAAAAAAAAAAAUGCAACUUUACGCUUUUCACAAUAAUUUACAACGAAGUGACAAAAAUGAUUGAAUUCUUUAAUAAUAAUACUAGAAGCUAUUCACGAAAAAGAAAACGGUUACAAAGAAAAGAAAAAAGUAACUUAACACCUUUGACGGUAACUGUUGGCGGAACCACCACCACCACCACCAACCACCACCACUUGCCUCAGACCUCAACACAGGAGCCCCGGGAAGAAAGGAGGACGAUGUUAAAAAAGCGAGCAAAGUGACACACAUAACAAACUGGUUAUAGUCCAUUUGUACAGGUGAUGACCACGAUUACGAAGCUCCUUUAAUUAACACAGGUGAGGUGACGCCUUCACCUUCACACAACUAAAACACUACACCGAGUUUCUAUUUUCUUUUUUUUUCGGCAGUUCGUACUAACUUGGUGGAUGAAUUCUCGCCACUCCACGCUGCGACACUAAUCAUUUUGGCUCAUUAAUGCCCGGAUGAAGAAUAAAAAAAAGAGAGAGAGGAGUGAGCGAUCUAAAGAAAAAAAGUGAGCGAUCUACUUGAAAAAAAAAGUGAUCUACUUGAAAAAAAAGAAGAAAAAGAGCGAUCAACUUGAAAAAAAAGUGAGCGAUCUACUUGAAAAAAAAAAGUGAGCGAUCUACUUGAAAAAAGAAAAGAAAAGAGGAAGUCAGCCAUCUAUUUGGAAAAAAGGAAAAAAGUUGUGAUCGAUCUACUUGCACACUCACAAAUUCUCAGAAAGGAAAGAGGAAUUUAAAUGAAGAAAAAUGCGAGUUUGUUGAAUAAAUGAGAAAACGAAAAUGGAAAAUAAGAAAAGAAAGUGGGAGUUCCUUAAUGAAAAUGAAGGAAAUAAGAGGAAAAUGUGAAGCAGAAAACGCGAUUUGGUUAAUGCAGACAAAACUAUGAAGAACAAAAGAAAAGAAAUGCAAAACAAAGAAAAAAAAAGAAUGAAGCAUAAAAAUACGAUACAAAACGAGCUAGUCCACCAAAUUAGUCUGAACGAUCCAAAGAGAGUCAAGCCAACACGCUCCACACACGGUCGCCACACGCUCACCUCGCAGCCUUCAGUACAAAACACACACAGAUCGGCUUUCAAACGCUCGUGAAAAGGAGUCUCAAAUUCUUAUCUACCCAGCACUGCCUCAGGUGACCCGCGCCCCGCCCCAGACACAGCUAUACACACCCACUGCCCACGAAGGUCCAGAGAAACACUGUGCUGUAGUUUGAAGUAACACUAAUUCCCCUCUUGGUCAUGGGGUUGUUCAGUAAAGCUCGGCGCCACGACACUGAGGUUAUAGAGCGCCGGGACAACUGAACUGUUAAAUUGCAAUGGGAAAUGUUGGGUUCGCUGGCUAAAUGAGAAAGGAAAUUGGAGGUACAAAAUGAAGAGUUAAUCAAAAUUACAGGAAAAAUGGAAUUAAACAGAAAAUAUGAGUUCACUGAUGCAAAAUUGAGAGAGAGAGAGAGAGAGAGAGAGAGAGAGAGAGAGAGAGAGAGAGAGAGAGAGGGAGAGAGAGAGAGAGAGAGAGAGAGAGAGAGAGAGAGAGAGAGAGAGAGAGAGAG